This is a long non-coding RNA of Hemicordylus capensis (graceful crag lizard), 373 nucleotides long. RefSeq lists it as uncharacterized. The record is from RefSeq and is a predicted model, not a curated record. The transcript is spliced from 3 exons. NCBI's taxonomy places the organism in Eukaryota, Metazoa, Chordata, Lepidosauria, Squamata, Cordylidae.
CCACGAUCAUACCUAUAGAGUGACCGCUGCAGCAGGGAGGAGGGAGGAUUGUGUGAAGGGAUAAUGGACCACUACAAGAACUACUGUUACAAGAACAUUGUGCAGAUGGUUUCCUGGCCACUGUGAUGACGUUUAGGACCUCUGGGUUUUGGAUUACCGGGUGCUGAUCCUCCAGGCCAUGAGGUGGAGACUUCCCAUGUCUGAAUGUAGCACUGUCCCCUGUUCUCUGCCAACACAAAGAUGAACCCAAGCCAGGCUGUGCCAGACUCCUAGUGCUUAUGCCAAGCAUGUGCAGACUGCCCAGGAGACCUGGAGCACAAGUGAUCCUGGAAAGAAAGGAAAAAACCACCAGCCACCACGUGUAGUAACAUGA